RNAcentral lists this ribosomal RNA (729 nucleotides) under uncultured Actinomycetes bacterium. Its description in RNAcentral is "bacterial SSU rRNA". It matches the Rfam family "Bacterial small subunit ribosomal RNA", at positions 66 to 804 of the family's 1533-position model. The record is from RNAcentral. Lineage: Bacteria; Bacillati; Actinomycetota; Actinomycetes.
CGCGGUCCAUCCGGUGGCAACACUGGAGAAGGCUGAGUGGCGAACGGGUGAGUAGCACGUGAGCAACCUGCCCCGAAGACCGGGACAACACCGGGAAACCGGUGCUAAUACCGGAUGCCCCCACCAGGCCGCAUGGCCCGGUGAGGAAAUGGAUUCCGCUUCGGGAGGGGCUCGCGGCCUAUCAGCUUGUUGGUGAGGUAACGGCUCACCAAGGCUUCGACGGGUAGCUGGUCUGAGAGGACGAUCAGCCACACUGGGACUGGGACACGGCCCAGACUCCUACGGGAGGCAGCAGUGGGGAAUCUUGCGCAAUGGGCGAAAGCCUGACGCAGCAACGCCGCGUGAGGGACGAAGGCUUUCUGAGUUGUAAACCUCUUUCAGCAGGGACGAUUGUGACGGUACCUGCAGAAGAAGCCCCGGCCAACUACGUGCCAGCAGCCGCGGUGAUACGUAGGGGGCAAGCGUUGUCCGGAAUUAUUGGGCGUAAAGAGCUCGUAGGCGGCUUGGCAAGUCGAAUGUGAAACCUCCAGGCUCAACCUGGAGCCGCCAUUCGAUACUGCCAUGGCUAGAGUCCGGUAGGGGACCAUGGAAUUCCUGGUGUAGCGGUGAAAUGCGCAGAUAUCAGGAGGAACACCGGCGGCGAAGGCGGUGGUCUGGGCCGGUACUGACGCUGAGGAGCGAAAGCGUGGGGAGCGAACAGGAUUAGAUACCCUGGUAGUCCACGCCGUA